This 857-nucleotide ribosomal RNA is filed under the name Salmonella enterica. RNAcentral describes it as "partial 23S ribosomal RNA". It matches the Rfam family "Bacterial large subunit ribosomal RNA", at positions 395 to 1251 of the family's 2925-position model. The record is from RNAcentral. Lineage: Bacteria; Pseudomonadati; Pseudomonadota; Gammaproteobacteria; Enterobacterales; Enterobacteriaceae.
UGCUGUGAGCUCGAUGAGUAGGGCGGGACACGUGGUAUCCUGUCUGAAUAUGGGGGGACCAUCCUCCAAGGCUAAAUACUCCUGACUGACCGAUAGUGAACCAGUACCGUGAGGGAAAGGCGAAAAGAACCCCGGCGAGGGGAGUGAAACAGAACCUGAAACCGUGUACGUACAAGCAGUGGGAGCACAGGUUUACCUGUGUGACUGCGUACCUUUUGUAUAAUGGGUCAGCGACUUAUAUUCUGUAGCAAGGUUAACCGCAUAGGGGAGCCGAAGGGAAACCGAGUCUUAACCGGGCGUUAAGUUGCAGGGUAUAGACCCGAAACCCGGUGAUCUAGCCAUGGGCAGGUUGAAGGUUGGGUAACACUAACUGGAGGACCGAACCGACUAAUGUUGAAAAAUUAGCGGAUGACCUGUGGCUGGGGGUGAAAGGCCAAUCAAACCGGGAGAUAGCUGGUUCUCCCCGAAAGCUAUUUAGGUAGCGCCUCGUGAAUUCAUCUCCGGGGGUAGAGCACUGUUUCGGCUAGGGGGCCAUCCCGGCUUACCAACCCGAUGCAAACUGCGAAUACCGGAGAAUGUUAUCACGGGAGACACACGGCGGGUGCUAACGUCCGUCGUGAAGAGGGAAACAACCCAGACCGCCAGCUAAGGUCCCAAAGUCAUGGUUAAGUGGGAAACGAUGUGGGAAGGCCCAGACAGCCAGGAUGUUGGCUUAGAAGCAGCCAUCAUUUAAAGAAAGCGUAAUAGCUCACUGGUCGAGUCGGCCUGCGCGGAAGAUGUAACGGGGCUAAACCAUGCACCGAAGCUGCGGCAGCGACACUGUGUGUUGUUGGGUAGGGGAGCGUUCUGUAAGCCUG